RNAcentral lists this unclassified non-coding RNA (336 nucleotides) under Pseudomicrostroma phylloplanum. RNAcentral describes it as "sequence contains 5.8S rRNA gene". Lineage: Eukaryota; Fungi; Basidiomycota; Exobasidiomycetes; Microstromatales. The record is from RNAcentral.
GAACGCACCUUGCGCUCCCUGGUAUUCCUAGGAGCAUGCCUGUUUGAGUGUCAUGAAUCCCUCAAAUCCCAAUGUUUUUUAAAAAAGAAGCGUUGCUUGGAUUUGGUUGUGGGCCCUUGCAGUCUUUCACGAGUCUGCUGGCCUUAAAGAUAUUAGCUGGACCUCUCUAAUCUCUAAGCAGAGUACUUCCAUUUGAUGUAAUAAAAUUGCAUUGGUGGAGGCUCGACUUGGUACCUAGAGGAAGUCUGCUUCUUAACCCGGCGCGAGUGGCAACACUCAACCCACUAUUUCAUAACUCUGGCCUCAAAUCAGGUAGGACUACCCGCUGAACUUAAG